Molecule: transfer RNA, 77 nt
Filed under: Deltaproteobacteria bacterium
Lineage: Bacteria; Pseudomonadati; Myxococcota; Myxococcia
Description: tRNA-Pro
Rfam family: tRNA
About the family: Transfer RNA (tRNA) molecules are approximately 80 nucleotides in length. Their secondary structure includes four short double-helical elements and three loops (D, anti-codon, and T loops).
Source: RNAcentral
CGGGAAGUGGCUCAGCCUGGUAGAGCACAGCGUUCGGGACGCUGGGGCCGCCGGUUCAAAUCCGGCCUUCCCGACCA